RNAcentral lists this ribosomal RNA (253 nucleotides) under uncultured bacterium. Its description in RNAcentral is "partial 16S ribosomal RNA". It matches the Rfam family "Bacterial small subunit ribosomal RNA", at positions 524 to 776 of the family's 1533-position model. The record is from RNAcentral.
UACGUAGGUGGCAAGCGUUGUCCGGAAUUAUUGGGCGUAAAGCGCGCGCAGGUGGUUUCUUAAGUCUGAUGUGAAAGCCCACGGCUCAACCGUGGAGGGUCAUUGGAAACUGGGGAACUUGAGUGCAGGAGAGAAGGGUGGAAUUCCACGUGUAGCGGUGAAAUGCGUAGAGAUGUGGAGGAACACCAGUGGCGAAGGCGACUCUUUGGCCUGUAACUGACACUGAGGCGCGAAAGCGUGGGGAGCAAACAGG